GCAAGUCGAGCGCGUGGCAACACGAGCGGCAGACGGGUGAGUAACGCGUGGGAAUCUACCGGACCCUACGGAAUAACGCAUGGAAACGUGUGCUAAUACCGUAUACGCCCUACGGGGGAAAGAUUUAUCGGGGUUUGAUGAGCCCGCGUUGGAUUAGCUAGUUGGUGGGGUAAAGGCCUACCAAGGCGACGAUCCAUAGCUGGUCUGAGAGGAUGAUCAGCCACAUUGGGACUGAGACACGGCCCAAACUCCUACGGGAGGCAGCAGUGGGGAAUAUUGGACAAUGGGCGCAAGCCUGAUCCAGCCAUGCCGCGUGAGUGAUGAAGGCCCUAGGGUUGUAAAGCUCUUUCACCGGAGAAGAUAAUGACGGUAUCCGGAGAAGAAGCCCCGGCUAACUUCGUGCCAGCAGCCGCGGUAAUACGAAGGGGGCUAGCGUUGUUCGGAAUUACUGGGCGUAAAGCGCACGUAGGCGGACAUUUAAGUCAGGGGUGAAAUCCCGGAGCUCAACUCCGGAACUGCCUUUGAUACUGGGUGUCUUGAGUGUGGAAGAGGUGAGUGGAAUUCCGAGUGUAGAGGUGAAAUUCGUAGAUAUUCGGAGGAACACCAGUGGCGAAGGCGGCUCACUGGUCC
This 630-nucleotide ribosomal RNA is filed under the name uncultured Alphaproteobacteria bacterium. RNAcentral's name for it is "bacterial SSU rRNA". It matches the Rfam family "Bacterial small subunit ribosomal RNA", at positions 57 to 735 of the family's 1533-position model. The record is from RNAcentral. Lineage: Bacteria; Pseudomonadati; Pseudomonadota; Alphaproteobacteria.